This 1146-nucleotide long non-coding RNA is filed under the name Panax ginseng (ginseng). RNAcentral describes it as "long non-coding RNA (PGIN_LNC017499)". Lineage: Eukaryota; Viridiplantae; Streptophyta; Magnoliopsida; Apiales; Araliaceae. The record is from RNAcentral.
GUUAUUAUCGGAGAUUCGUUGAAUGAUAUUCUCGAAUCGCUAUUCCAUUAACGCAGCUGACUCGUAGAGAUACAAAAUUCGAAUGGAGCAAGGAAUGUGGGAUGUAACGCCCCCAAAAUCGGGACCAUUUCCCUUCCCGAUCUUGUGCGUUAAUACUACCCUGUUAUAUCUUUAAAACAUUAUUUAAUGUUAAAAUAGCUAAAAAUGCAAAAUAAAUUUUAAUUUUCUUCUUUAUUCCCAUUCAUUCAUUCCCUGAAUCGCAACCUUUACAAUUCUUCUUUAUAAUAAAAUUAUAUUUAUUCUCAUUUCAGAAUAAACAUUCUUUAUCUAUUUAACAUUUCAAACUAUACAUUACUGCCAAUUAUAUUUAGCAACUAUCAAUCAUAGCUUUAUACCAUUUCUAAUUCAAAGAAAUGUGUUCAUUUCGUCCAUCAUUCAUCCUUCAUCAUCCGCAAAACAAAAAUAAUAUUGCAUAACGUCAUUAACCUGCAAAAAAAUUGUGUUUGCAAGAUUAAGCUCGACAGCCCAACAAAUUUAACAGUCUAUCAUGUUUCACAUAGCACACAAUUCCAUAUGCACUACAUUGCCCUUAAUAUGCAUAUCCGCAUGCAACAUAUAUUCUUUACUAUGCAUAUCCUACAUGCAUCAAUAAUUCCUUAAAAAGCAUACAUUCAUGCAUUAUACAUUUUUAAUUUAUCGAGUUACAUCAUACAACAUGUGUUAUCACAAAUCACAUAUAAAUUGAGUUCCAUAACCCAAUUAACUGAGUCAUAUUUUGACUUUAACAAUUCAUAGAGCAUGAUAUGUAAUUUAGCACAUAAUCACAUUCCAUCCACAAACAUAACAAAACUGAAAAACUUGCCUGUAGCACUGUCUAAUAUUAUUGUUUAUCUGCUCUGCGAUGUUCCUACACAAAUUAAAUGUACAUUCAUGCCAUAUCAGUCAAUCAUAUAUUUAAUAUCAACUUAAUUAAUAUUACUAUAUCUUUUUCUUUAAAACUUUCAUUUAGUUUCUUUGAAAGUCUUUAGCUAAUUUCACAAUGUAACUUCUUCUCAUUUCUUGACUUAUACAUUUAACAUGUAUAAGUAUAACUGUAAGUCCAAAUCAGAUUUUUAGUUCAAAACCACAUACUUUACUAACUCUUAC